Long non-coding RNA from Notolabrus celidotus (New Zealand spotty), 848 nucleotides. RefSeq lists it as uncharacterized. The record is from RefSeq and is a predicted model, not a curated record. The transcript has 4 exons. Lineage: Eukaryota; Metazoa; Chordata; Actinopteri; Labriformes; Labridae.
AACAGGGGAAGGGGUCUAAGUUAAGGGAGAGCAGAAUAAAUAAUUUGUGAACACCUCCAGAUGGUUUGGUCCAGGAGGCCAAUUAGUGCCACACUAUAAAAGGUGCCAGUUAUAAUCUGUCUGUGUCGUUGUUGGUUGGUGUCUGAUGUCACGGUGGCUGUCUGUUCAAUAAACCCGUAUAUGGUACACCUGAACCACCGCCUAUGAUUUUGUUCGUCAUGCCUACGGUAUCAUCCAGCCGCUAAAGGGUCAUUCUAACAGUGAGCCACUGCAGUGAGGAGUAACACACACAUAUUCCAGGGAGAUUAUAGGGAGAAAUGACACCUCGGGAGCCAAAUUUGGGAGUGUUGGCAGGCCUUCCCAACGUAUUCCAAAGAGCCAUUCUUCAAACUUCCACAGCCAUGAAUGUGUGAGUAAUUUUCAAAAUGGGAAAGUUGGACCAUCAUUCCUGAAACCAUUACGACCAGUAUGAAGCUGCAGAGGACUACCUCUUUGACAUCAAAGCUGUGACCAAAGGGGGCCAUGGCACCAGCAGUGAACCCACCCGCAUACCAAAGAUGUCAGGUAUGCCGACUUCCUGUUCCCCAGUGAUUACCCUAAUGUGCCUCACCUGUGUCAUGUUAACAUUACACCCCUAGUGCAUUUUAGCUCAGCUUCCCUUAUGUGACAGUUUGUCUUGUUCCUUAAACAGCUCGUAACCCGAGGUAACAGAGUACUCAACGUUAUAAUGGAACAGUGUCUAAGUUCGAAAAGGAGGGGUUAAGAGAAUGAUUUGACAGACACAGUCAGCCAAUAUGUGUAUCAAAUGAGAAUUGGUAUUAAACAAAAAUUAAGUUUUUUUCAAAUCA